This 2817-nucleotide ribosomal RNA is filed under the name Clostridioides difficile M120. RNAcentral's name for it is "bacterial LSU rRNA". It matches the Rfam family "Bacterial large subunit ribosomal RNA". Lineage: Bacteria; Bacillati; Bacillota; Clostridia; Peptostreptococcales; Peptostreptococcaceae. The record is from RNAcentral.
AGGGUGCAGGGCGGAUGCCUUGGCACUAGGAGCCGAUGAAGGACGUGAUAAGCUGCGAUAAGCUUCGGGGAGUUGCACGUAAACUUUGAUCCGAAGAUUUCCGAAUGAGGAAACUCACUUAGAGUAAUGUCUAAGUAUCAUUAAGUGAAUACAUAGCUUAAUGAGGGGAACUCAGGGAACUGAAACAUCUAAGUACCUGAAGGAAGAGAAAGAAAUUCGAUUCCGUAAGUAGCGGCGAGCGAACGCGGAUUAGCCCAAACCAAUAAAGUUUUCUUUAUUGGGGUUGCGGACAUAUCAUAACGAAGAGGUAUCGUAAUUGAAGAGGUUUGGAAAGACCCACCACAGAAGGUAAUAGUCCUGUAUGUUAAACGAGAAGACUUCAGAUAUGAUCCAGAGUACCACGGGACACGUGAAACCCUGUGGGAAGCAGGAGGGACCACCCUCCAAGGCUAAAUACUACCUAGUGACCGAUAGCGUAUAGUACCGUGAGGGAAAGGUGAAAAGAACCCCGGGAGGGGAGUGAAAUAGAACCUGAAACCCUGCACUUACAAGCUGUGGAAGCACAUUUCUUGUGUGACCGCGUACUUUUUGUAGAACGGGCCAACGAGUUACGUUAAGUAGCAAGGUUAAGCACUUAAGGUGUGGAGCCGUAGCGAAAGCGAGUUUUAACUGAGCGUUCAGUUACUUGACGUAGACCCGAAACCGGGCGACCUACCCAUGAGCAGGAUGAAGCGAAAGUAAAAUUUCGUGGAGGUCCGAACCCACGAGCGUUGAAAAGCUCGGGGAUGACUUGUGGGUAGCGGUGAAAUUCCAAUCGAGCCCGGAGAUAGCUGGUUCUCCCCGAAAUAGCUUUAGGGCUAGCCUCAAGGUGAGAGAUACGGAGGUAGAGCACUGAAUGUCCUAGGGGGUAUUGCACCUACCGAAGACUAUCAAACUCCGAAUGCCGUCAUCUUAUACUUGGGAGUCAGACUGUGGGUGAUAAGAUUCAUAGUCGAAAGGGCAACAGCCCAGAUCGUCAGCUAAGGUCCCUAAAUGUAAGUUAAGUGGUAAAGGAUGUGGGAUUGCACAGACAACCAGGAUGUUGGCUUAGAAGCAGCCACUCAUUCAAAGAGUGCGUAAUAGCUCACUGGUCGAGUGAUCCUGCGCCGAAGAUUUCCGGGGCUAAAACUUACUACCGAAGCUACGGCAUCAGUAAUGAUGGGUAGGGGAGCUUCCCAUACGGGUUGAAGCAUGACCGUAAGGACAUGUGGACAGUAUGGGAGUGAGAAUGUUGGCAUGAGUAGCGAGAUGUGGGUGAGAAUCCCACAGGCCGUAAACCCAAGGUUUCCAGGGGAAGGUUCGUCCGCCCUGGGUUAGUCGGGACCUAAGCUGAGGCCGAAAGGCGUAGGUGAUGGACAACAGGUUGAUAUUCCUGUACUACCGAUAACCGUUUGAGAGAAGGGAUGACACAGUAGGAUAAGCUAAGCACACUGUUGGUUAUGUGUGCCCAAGCAUUGAGGCAGUCAAAGUAGGCAAAUCCGCUUUGAUAAUGCUGGGAUGUGAUGGGGAGCGAAAUUUAGUAGCGAAGUAGCUGAUUUCACACUGUCAAGAAAAGUCUCUAUCGAGGUUAAAGGUACCCGUACCGCAAACCGACACAGGUGGGUGAGGAGAGUAUCCUAAGGCCAGCGAGAGAACUGUUGUUAAGGAACUCGGCAAAAUGACCCCGUAACUUAGGGAUAAGGGGUGCCACCAUCAGGUGGCCGCAGAGAAUAGGCCCAAGCGACUGUUUACCAAAAACAUAGGUUUCUGCUAAGUCGCAAGACGAUGUAUAGGAGCUGACGCCUGCCCGGUGCUGGAAGGUUAAGGGGAUCUGUUAGAGCAAUCGAAGCAGUGAACUUAAGCCCCAGUAAACGGCGGCCGUAACUAUAACGGUCCUAAGGUAGCGAAAUUCCUUGUCGGGUAAGUUCCGACCCGCACGAAAGGCGUAACGAUUUGGGCACUGUCUCAACAACAGACUCGGUGAAAUUGUAAUUCCGGUGAAGAUGCCGGAUACCUGCGACAGGACGGAAAGACCCCAUGGAGCUUUACUGUAGCUUGACAUUGGGUUUUGGUACUACAUGUACAGGAUAGGUGGGAGGCUUUGAAACCAGGACGCCAGUUUUGGCGGAGCCAUCCUUGGGAUACCACCCUUGUAGUACUGGGACUCUAACCAUAGGCCAUGAAUCUGGUCUUGGGACACUGUCAGGUGGGCAGUUUGACUGGGGCGGUCGCCUCCCAAAAGGUAACGGAGGCGCUCAAAGGUUCUCUCAGUACGGUCGGAAAUCGUACGUAGAGUGUAAAGGCAAAAGAGAGCUUGAUUGCAAGACAUACAGGUCGAGCAAGGAUGAAAAUCGGACUUAGUGAUCCGGUGGUUCUGCGUGGAAGGGCCAUCGCUCAACGGAUAAAAGCUACCCUGGGGAUAACAGGCUUAUCUCCCCCAAGAGUCCACAUCGACGGGGAGGUUUGGCACCUCGAUGUCGGCUCAUCACAUCCUGGGGCUGUAGUAGGUCCCAAGGGUUGGGCUGUUCGCCCAUUAAAGUGGUACGCGAGCUGGGUUCAGAACGUCGUGAGACAGUUCGGUCCCUAUCCGUCGCAGGCGUAGGAAAUUUGAGAAGACCUGUCCUUAGUACGAGAGGACCGGGAUGGACGUACCUCUGGUGUACCAGUUGUUCUGCCAAGGGCAUGGCUGGGUAGCUAUGUACGGAAUGGAUAAGCGCUGAAAGCAUCUAAGCGCGAAGCCAACUUCAAGAUAAGAUUUCCCACCGUAAGGGUAAGACCCCAGAAAGACUAUCUGGUUGA